Molecule: RNA transcript, 3062 nt
Organism: Canis lupus familiaris (dog)
Lineage: Eukaryota; Metazoa; Chordata; Mammalia; Carnivora; Canidae
Gene: CCDC148
Gene name: coiled-coil domain containing 148
Exons: 16
Source: RefSeq, a predicted model, not a curated record
GAUGUAAAGUUGGAAUGUUGAUUUUCAAAAUUUUAUUGGAAAGCUCAUUGUUUGGUCAUACUGAAGAUGUCUCCAGUUGCCUUACAAUGCAUGCUUUAAUCUUCUUCAAUAGUGGUCAAGAUAAUCUGGUGUUCCAAAUGAAAAAUGGAAUGAGAAGCAUCAAGUAUAAACCAGUAGACUAUCAACAGUUGCAUGCAUUAACAGAAGCAAAAAAAUUAGCGUCUGCCUCUAUAGAGCCUAAGAUCAGAAAAGCAGUGCAGAUUUCAAAGAUAUCUAAGGAACAAACACUAAUAAAACAACACAAGCAAGUGUGGUGGCAGGAGCAUCAAAGGCUAACUGAUGUCAGAUGUAAAAUGGAAUCUGAAAUAAAAUCUUUUCUCAAGAACAUUGGAAAUGAAUGUCUGUCUGACCUUAUAAAUUUUGAACAAGAGUUAUCAGAACAAUGGUGCAUGUAUCUUAAAAAUGUGAUAAAUCCUAUUCAGCAGUUGAGAACAGAUCUAAAAUACAGACAGCAUCAUAUUUCACAGCACUCAUACUCACAUAUUGAGCUUAAUGCAGUGAAAGUACUGGAAGAGGUUGAUUUCGUGAAGAAACAAUUGAAAGCUGUCUUUGAAAGACUUAGUCUGGAGCAACAGAAAAUAGAAAACUAUCUUUCAGACUGGAAUAUGAAGAUACUAGAUUAUUCUUCAGAAGAAAGAAGUAACCUGCUUAGUGAACUGCCCAUGGAAUUAGAAACAUUGGAAUGCCCAUACCCUGAUUUGAAAUCUUCAAUUCUUCAUGAGUUCUUUAACUUUACAGAGAAAUAUAAAAAGAAACUUCAAGAGUUUGAUUUGCAGUUAGAAGACAUAUCCAGAAAUUUCCAGUUAAGUGAAGAAGACCACUGGAUUUACCAGGCUGUUUUGGAUCAGUAUCCUGGAGAUCUCUGUGGCAGAAGGACUCUGUAUCUGAACAUGUUACAAAGAUAUUUUCCUCACAAAUCUAGGCAUGAUUUGGUGGAGCAUGAGAAAUAUUGUGAUCAAUAUCGCUUUGCUAGGGAGCAGCGAAGGAUCCUGAUAUCAAAUUGGAAUAAGAACAGGAGAGACUUUAUCCAGAAGGCUGUGCUGACCCUUGCGGAGGCCUGCGCAGCACAUGCAAUAGAGGGUACUUUGGCUAAGGACAGAAGAAAGCAACAGGAACUGUGUGCUCAUCUGAAAGCCAAGGUUCUUCAAUGGAGAGCUCACCAGGAAGAGAUAGCAAGACUGGAAAUGGAAAUUUCUGCCAGAAGAAGAGAAAAGGAGGAGGAGAAAGAGAAGCUAUGGAAGGAGAAAGAAUUGUUACAAAGAGCAGAGAAGAAAAAGAAAAUAAGAAAAUACUGGGCUAAAAAAGAGCAGAAGUGGCAAGAAAUGGAAAUGAGAGAUCUUCAGCGCCUGGAAGAACUGAAGAAAUUAAUGGCUGAACAAUCAGUGAAAGACCGAGAAAGGGUGAAAUAUAGACAAAAAUUACUGGAAAAGCGUUUGGUGGAGAAAAAAGAAGUGGCCCUUCAAGAAGCACAUGAAGAAGAGGAGAGAGAGAGGCGGCUAGAAGCCCUGAGGAAACAGGUUGCUAUUGUUGCUCAGUUUGACCCUGUUAGAAUGAUGUCAGACACAGCGGCAUCAAAAGCAAGGAUGGGUAUUGGAAUUGAAGAAGAAUUUAUUCUUCAAAAGCCGCUCUUUACACUGAAUACAUACAAUGAACACCAGGGAAGGAUUGGGCUGCACAGUUCUGAUAUCUGGCCAUGAAAUCCAAGCUGCUGUUGGAAGUUGGAGAUUAGAGGCUGAGGCCGUUGCUGGCAUUCCAUCGGAAUACAUGGGGCAAGCUGAUCUGGUCAAGAUGUGUCAUGUGGAUCACAGGAGCUAGAAGAGCAGGAUAACGAGAUCAGCAUAACAACAGCGACGUCCGGGUGUCCGUGGCCACACUUCGAGCAGCUUGUACACCUAUUGUACACCUAUUGCACAAAAGGGUCCAGGGGCUGGAGAUCCAGCAGAGGGAAAUGAAGUACAGUGGGUGAGUCGAGGUCAUCAUACAAGGAAGUCUUCCUGGUGAAGUGAGAUUUGUGGCGAGAGCUGAUGCUCAUCACAGAGAUCGGAAGCGGCCAUCCACGUGGACACAAGGUUGUCCUCCUUGUCCCAGGGGGAGGCAGGAAGAUCGACUUCGCAUCAGUCCAAAUUCAGUGAGUCACUCCUUUGAGGUAGUACAAUGGCUUCUAGAGACCCUUGUUACAUAAAAAGUCAUGUAUGGGGGGGCGCCUGGGUGCCUCAGUGGUUGGGCGUCCGCCUUGGGCUCUGGCCGUGCUCCCCAGGUCCAGGGAUCGAGUCCCGCGGGGGCCUGCUUCUCCCUCUGCCUGUGUCUCUGCCUCUCUCUGUGGGUCUUGGGGAUGAAUAAGUAAAAUCUUUAAGAAAAAAAGUUAUGUAUAAGUGAAGCCAUUAACCAUCAUCACCUGGUGGUGGUUUCCUGGUCGUCUGGCCCCCGCCUGUGGCUCUUACCCUCACUAGCUUGUGGAGACAAAAGGGCGUUACUGCUGACCUUCUAAAGAGGGUGCGGUGCAUUUGCACUCGUCCCCCACAUACUGCGGGGAUCUGCGUGUGCUGUAUUCUGAGAGAUGGGAGUAUUAGGCACAGUGGUUUUGCAAUUAAUCUCUUAGGAACUAUAACUUCUUUCUAAAAUGUCUUUUUAGAAAUGUUACCCCAUAUAUUUUGUUUGUGGUUUUAUAUAUUGAAGCUGAUUGACUAUAAGGUCAAAUAUUGGAAUUAAAAUUCUACCUGUGUUUAAAAGACACAUUAACAUGCUGUAAUUAUUGACUUCUUUGGAGGUUUCUAGGGACCAGGACACUAGACUCUCCAGGUGUACUGCCCAUCCCACUGGCCCCUCCUCCUUGGUCCUGGCUGGAUCUCCCUCACCUCCCCUAGCUUUCAGAUCUAACCAAAGACUUUUUCUCAUCUGCUUCUAGACUUAUUUGCUUUGUUAUCUCAUCCACUGCAUGCCUUUAUUUUUUUUAAGAUGUUAUUUAUUUAUUCAUGAGAGACAGAGAGAGAGAGAGGCAGAGA